UGAUCUUAACAAAAUAUAGAAGGGACCAAAGGAGGUCAAAGUGUGGGAUCUGAACACUAUACGGUGAUCCAGGAUUUCCUUUUAUUUACUGCUCGCACCUUUUCAAUCUCAAGUGGAUUUUGGCUGUCUCAAGUGGCGCUACCCAAUGGCUGGGGAGGAGUCUGUAAUCCACUGAGCCGAGACACUUCGCCAUCAGCGGAUAUCUUUUAUUACAAUUUAGCACACGUAGGAAAUCCCAAAAUACCAUUGGUGAAUUAAAUGAAGUUUAGACAGAAUGCCAGAAAGACGCAUAGCAUCAGGGUAGGUAGGAAUCCCACAUUUAUCUCAAAAGGCUUUUUAUCGUGUGCCAUCUCUUACCAUGGCACCGACCUGUGCUUUUCUACAUUAAUGACGUCCUGCAGAGCUCCUCUGCUUUUGGUGCUGAAGGAGAAUAAUUUGUGAUGGUCUUUCAUGGAGAAGUGGAGCAAAAGCCACGGCUGAUUUCAUCAAUGUGAUGGUGUGACGAGGAAAGUAAUGCUCACAUGCAGGAUGACACGAGCACAAGGGCAGAGCUGCAUGGAAUCACCUGUGGGACCACAGCCUGCAUUAAACACUCUACGUCAAGAUGCAAAGCAAAACAGCUGGCAAGAGGGAGGAAAGCUGUAAUUACAGCCAACAAAUGACUCCUGAGCCAACACCUACUGUUGAGGCCCUGCUCUUGAAACAGAAGCCAGGAACAGGAGCUUUUUCCCCUCUAGGUGUAGUGCCUCAAAGCCUGAGGCUUUGCCCUAGAAGGUCACAGCUGUGGGUUGUCUCCAGAAUGGCAUCCAAAGCAGGUGGAACAGGUCCCCUGAUCUGGUUCACAGCAUGGCCCUGCGAAGAGGUGGAGUUGGGAGAAUUGAGGAGUGGUGCAGUAUUGCACGAGGACAAAAAAGGUGGAACUGGUUGUUGCGAUGUUUCUGAGGCCACAGGAUCAGAAAACUGUGGCCUUUCUGCUACCGGCCUGAGAUGAGUCUUCCCCCAAUUUCUAGCAAGUAACAGGCUUGUAAAUAUAUCACAGCACAAUAAAUCCGCAUGAGUUUUCAAAUCCCAUCUGACCUCCCUCUUCUGUGUUAUUUAACGUCUUGUUUGCAAAUUAUUUUAUCAAACACUUUAAACAAUUUCAGAAGUACAGUCUUGCUUUAAAAAAAAAAUCUGUGUAGGACUUAGUUACGAGCUGUUCCUGUUCACACAGCAAAGCCAACCAGCGUUAGGAACAGCGAGAAAUACUUGGACAAUAACAUGGACAGCUGAAGCGUGAAGGAAAAAUUGGUACCUGCAAAGCAUCAGCCCAGCUAUACGUGUGUUGCUUUUGUUUAAAAAUCUGACCUGUAGAUAUGCAAUGAUUGAGCAAAGAGCCCAGAAAUGAAAUAUAUGACUGUUCUUCAUACAAGGCGGUUCUAGCAUACACUCAGUAUAUCGGUAGUGAAUGCUGAAAAAGACUGGGUGUAGCACAGUGAGUGUUAGUCAUGGCCUGGAAACAGGGUAGGAAAACAAUUUAAGCUGAAUAGUUACUCAGCUAAUUGCUUUGAGUAAGUCUCAGAUUUACACACCCUAGAACCCAAACUCAAAAUUUUUACUUGAUAGUAUGAGACAAAUACUUGUCCUUUCUCC
Aquila chrysaetos chrysaetos is the source of this 1632-nucleotide long non-coding RNA. RefSeq lists it as uncharacterized. Lineage: Eukaryota; Metazoa; Chordata; Aves; Accipitriformes; Accipitridae. The transcript is spliced from 4 exons. The record is from RefSeq and is a predicted model, not a curated record.